RNAcentral lists this small RNA (220 nucleotides) under Pongo abelii (Sumatran orangutan). The stretch from base 1 to 163 matches the Rfam family "7SK RNA", at positions 12 to 171 of the family's 331-position model. Rfam says of the family: 7SK was discovered as an abundant small nuclear RNA in the mid-70s but a possible function has only recently been suggested. Two independent studies have found that 7SK RNA binds the CDK9/cyclin T complex (known as elongation factor P-TEFb). Lineage: Eukaryota; Metazoa; Chordata; Mammalia; Primates; Hominidae. The record is from RNAcentral.
UUAACUAUCUGCAACAUCUGUCACCAUAUUGAUCACAAAGGUUGAUGUGGCUGCCAACCUGGCUGGCUAUGCGGGUGUACCCUUCCUCCCUCACUGCCCCAUGUACAUCCUUCCCAAAGCUCUGUGCUUGGUUGAAGAGAACUACCUUCCCUGAUAAAAUGGGUAAGUGACACAAGUUUUAUAGCAGGCUUCAGCUUUAAAUUGAAAAUCGCUUAAUUAU